CACGUAGGCACCAAGCGUUGUCCGGAUUUAUUGGGCGUAAAGAGCUCGUAGGCGGUUCGGUAAGUCGGGUGUGAAAACUUUGGGCUCAACCCAAAGCGUGCAUUCGAUACUGCCGUGACUAGAGUUCGGUAGGGGAGCGGGGAAUUCCUAGUGUAGCGGUGAAAUGCGCAGAUAUUAGGAGGAACACCGGUGGCGAAGGCGCCGCUCUGGGCCGAAACUGACGCUGAGGAGCGAAAGCGUGGGUAGCAGACAGG
RNAcentral lists this ribosomal RNA (254 nucleotides) under uncultured bacterium. RNAcentral describes it as "partial 16S ribosomal RNA". It matches the Rfam family "Bacterial small subunit ribosomal RNA", at positions 524 to 776 of the family's 1533-position model. The record is from RNAcentral.